AAAAAAAAAAAAUAAUGGGAGAAAUCAUGCACAUGUGUAUAAAUCAAAAUCCAGUUUAAGUGCAGUAAAUAAACAGUCAAAGCAGUAACUGAUAUAGCAAACUAAUGUAAAGUUCAGAAAAAUUAAAAGUAGCAAACUAAGUAGCAAAUUAAGAGACAGACUGUUAGACAAAAUGUAAUCAUCAAAUAUGCAGAAUGGUUGUUUAGCCUUUUAGCCUAGAGCUUCUUCUGAUUGGU
This 236-nucleotide unclassified non-coding RNA is filed under the name Hevea brasiliensis (rubber tree). Lineage: Eukaryota; Viridiplantae; Streptophyta; Magnoliopsida; Malpighiales; Euphorbiaceae. The record is from RNAcentral.